RNAcentral lists this RNase P RNA (393 nucleotides) under Jannaschia rubra. RNAcentral describes it as "Bacterial RNase P class A". It matches the Rfam family "Bacterial RNase P class A". Rfam says of the family: Ribonuclease P (RNase P) is a ubiquitous endoribonuclease, found in archaea, bacteria and eukarya as well as chloroplasts and mitochondria. Its best characterised activity is the generation of mature 5'-ends of tRNAs by cleaving the 5'-leader elements of precursor-tRNAs. The record is from Rfam by way of RNAcentral. Lineage: Bacteria; Pseudomonadati; Pseudomonadota; Alphaproteobacteria; Rhodobacterales; Roseobacteraceae.
GCGGGGGGCCGGACGGCCGCGGGGUCAGCCCCGAGGAAAGUCCGGACUCCACGAAGCGACGGUGCCGGGUAACGCCCGGGCGGGGACCGGCGGGGCAACCCACCGGGAACUCGACGGAAAGCGCCACAGAAAACAGACCGCCCUGCAUGCAGGGUCAGGGUGAAACGGUGGGGUAAGAGCCCACCGGGGGGCUGGCAACAGCGCCCGCAUGGCAAGCCCCACCGGGAGCAAUGCCGAAUAGGGACCCCAGGCCGCCCGCAGGGGCGGCAGAGGCGCUUCGCCUUCGGGGUCCGGGUUGGCAGCUUGAGGCCCGAAGCGAUUCGCGGCCCAGAUGAAUGGUCGUCACCGGGGGCAACCCCGGCACAGAAUCCGGCUUACAGGCCCCCCGCGCAC